CCCCAUCAGUAUUCUUGUCAAUAGAACUCUCCUUAAUACUCCCUUUCAACUCAGGCAAAACCUCAGGCAUCAACACCACCACCAACCUCUUUUCUUCAGUCAACAAACCACAAUCCAAAACCCAACAAUNNNNNNNNNNCUCUCAUUUCUAUCCCCAAAAACACUCCCGAAAUACACCCUCGAAAACUCCUUCAAAACCG
RNAcentral lists this unclassified non-coding RNA (200 nucleotides) under Hevea brasiliensis (rubber tree). Lineage: Eukaryota; Viridiplantae; Streptophyta; Magnoliopsida; Malpighiales; Euphorbiaceae. The record is from RNAcentral.